Molecule: ribosomal RNA, 375 nt
Filed under: uncultured bacterium
Lineage: Bacteria
Description: bacterial SSU rRNA
Rfam family: Bacterial small subunit ribosomal RNA
Source: RNAcentral
CUACUUUCAGUAGGGAGGAAGGUAGUGUAGUUAACACCUGCAUUUAUUUGACGUUACCUACAGAAGAAGCACCGGCUAACUCCGUGCCAGCAGCCGCGGUAAUACGGAGGGUGCGAGCGUUAAUCGGAAAUUACUGGGGCGUAAAGCGCAUGCAGGCGGCCUGUUAAGUCAGAUGUGAAAGCCCGGGGCUUAACCUCGGAAUUGCAUUUGAAACUGGCAGGCUAGAGUCUUGUAGAGGGGGGUAGGAAUUUCAGGUGUAGCGGUGAAAUGCGUAGAGAUCUGAAGGAAUACCAGUGGCGAAGGCGGCCCCCUGGACAAAGACUGACGCUCAGAUGCGAAAGCGUGGGGAGCAAACAGGAUUAGAUACCCUGGUAG